RNAcentral lists this ribosomal RNA (253 nucleotides) under uncultured bacterium. Its description in RNAcentral is "partial 16S ribosomal RNA". It matches the Rfam family "Bacterial small subunit ribosomal RNA", at positions 524 to 776 of the family's 1533-position model. The record is from RNAcentral.
UACGUAGGUGGCAAGCGUUGUCCGGAUUUAUUGGGUUUAAAGGGUGCGUAGGCGGCUUUGUAAGUCAGUGGUGAAAUAUGGCAGCUUAACUGUCAGGGUGCCAUUGAUACUGCGGAGCUUGAGUACAGAUGAGGUAGGCGGAAUUGACGGUGUAGCGGUGAAAUGCUUAGAUAUCGUCAAGAACACCGAUAGUGAAGACAGCUUACUAGGCUUCUACUGACGCUGAGGCACGAAAGUGUGGGGAUCAAACAGG